GGUGGCUUAAAGUAGAGCACUUGCUUUGCAUGCAUGAGGCCCUGGGUUCGAUUCCUCAGCACCA
Molecule: transfer RNA, 64 nt
Filed under: Dipodomys ordii (Ord's kangaroo rat)
Lineage: Eukaryota; Metazoa; Chordata; Mammalia; Rodentia; Heteromyidae
Rfam family: tRNA
About the family: Transfer RNA (tRNA) molecules are approximately 80 nucleotides in length.
Source: Rfam by way of RNAcentral